Non-coding RNA from Acanthosepion pharaonis, 96 nucleotides. Lineage: Eukaryota; Metazoa; Mollusca; Cephalopoda; Sepiida; Sepiidae. The record is from the annotation of a GenBank genome assembly.
AAAAGAUCGUUUCUCGUAUGAUCACCGAAGUUAAGCAACGUCGAGCCUAGUUAGUACAUAGAUGGGUGACCGCUUGGGAAUGCCACGUUCUGUAAG